GUUUACGGCCAUACCACCCUGAACUCGUCUGAUGUUGGAAGCUAAGCCGGGUUGGGCCUCGUCAGUACUUGGAUGGGAGACCGGCUGGGAAUGGUCCAUGACCC
RNAcentral lists this ribosomal RNA (104 nucleotides) under Gambusia affinis (western mosquitofish). The record is from RNAcentral. Lineage: Eukaryota; Metazoa; Chordata; Actinopteri; Cyprinodontiformes; Poeciliidae.